This 489-nucleotide ribosomal RNA is filed under the name uncultured bacterium. RNAcentral's name for it is "bacterial SSU rRNA". It matches the Rfam family "Bacterial small subunit ribosomal RNA", at positions 29 to 507 of the family's 1533-position model. The record is from RNAcentral.
AUUGAACGCUGGCGGCAGGCCUAACACAUGCAAGUCGAGCGGAAACGAUCCUAGCUUGCUAGGAGGCGUCGAGCGGCGGACGGGUGAGUAACGCGUGAGAAUCUACCCAUGAGUGGGGGACAACCCGGGGAAACUCGGGCUAAUACCGCAUACGCCCUACGGGGUAAAGCAGGGGACCUUCGGGCCUUGCGCUGAUGGAUGAGCUCGCGUCGGAUUAGCUUGUUGGUGAGGUAAAGGCUCACCAAGGCGACGAUCCGUAGCUGGUCUGAGAGGAUGAUCAGCCACACCGGGACUGAGACACGGCCCGGACUCCUACGGGAGGCAGCAGUGGGGAAUCUUGGACAAUGGGGGCGAACCCUGAUCCAGCCAUGCCACGUGUGUGAAGAAGGCCUUCGGGUUGUAAAGCACUUUCAGCAGGGAGGAAGGCUUACCCCUAAUACGGGUGAGUACUUGACGUUACCUGCAGAAGAAGCACCGGCUAAUUUCGUG